GGCUGCUCUCAUAAGACUGGGCUAGAUGGAAGAUUGGUCUGAAUCCAGUGUCUGUUUUCAUAUUCUUUUAUUAACAGUCCUUCUCCUCGAAUCUCCCUCUGGCAGAGGUUUUAUGUAGCAGUGAGUGCAGGUCUGGCUCUCUCUAUCUGCCACUUACUGUGUUGAAGAGUUUCCCUUUUAAGCUCCUCCUUGAAGUAGAGGCCUGUUGCGGUGGGGCUUCCAGAGCUCAGAGUUGUUCCUGCAUCCUUCUCUCUCUAGUAUGAGGUUCAUCUACCCUGACAUAAGGGACACCUGCAGAUUUACCCCUUCAUGACUUUACAGUAGAUGUGGGCAAAUCCUGGUCUGUGGGCCGGAUCUGGUUCACCAGGGUUAGUCCCUGGUGGGCCAGCGCAGCUAUAUUUACUUGAAACUCCACAGGUACAGGUGGUUGCAGCUCCCUGUUGGCUGCUGAUCACCAUUGCAGCCGAUGGGAGCUGCUGAAAGUGGUGUCCUGGGCCACUCAGUUCCCAUUGCUCCCAUUCGCUGGAAACAGCGAUCUGCAUCCCAAUGGGAGCUGCAAUCGCCUGUACCUGCAGAGGCUUAGGUAAAUAUAGUGGCAGCAGUCUGCCAGAGGCUAACUCUGAUAAACUGCCCACCCGCCCACACACAUACACACUGUUGUGGUCAAAACAUAACACUUGCCGUUAAAGGAGCCUUGUUUUGAUAUGUAAUUCUGCCCAAGCUGGGUGAAAUCUCAUUUUACUUUUCUAGUUCCAGCAACACUCAGAGAUGUAGGGAAUAAUUUAAGCAUUGCAAGUCACUCAUUCUUCAUUAGAAUUUACAAAAAUCCAAAACCAAAAGGUGAGGGUCUGUCCAGAGAAGUAUAGUGUCAGAGAUUUUAUUGUGUACGUAUUGUCACAUCUCUUUCCACAGUUUUGGCAAGCCUGGCCUUCAGGAACCUCUUCUGCUCUAGUGCUAAAUCCCUCCUGAACAGAGAGAGUCAGUCAUGGCAAUAUGUGGUAGGUUAGCCAUUCAAAAUCUCCCCCGUAAGGCCCAGUGGCAGCUAGGCACCUCACACCUAUUGACCUUAAAUGAGAGUUCCACCCAUAACUGCCUUUUCUCCUUUUAAAGUCUCCCCACAGACAAACUUCUCCAAGGGAUAAGCCUGAAAUAUCACCAAAUCCUUCUCAACUGUGUGACCUAAAUCUAGACUCAGUAGAUCUCUGGAAGAAAAAGGUGAAAAUGUAAUAUUAGCUCCUGAUCUUGCUGUGUGAUGAACACAUCAUCCUAUAGUUGCUUAACUCAGCUCAUCAACCCACACAGACUCAAUUUAUUUGACAUUUCCUGUAUGAUUUCCUACAUACAGCUGCAUUAAUAGCAACGACAGACUUAGGCCCUCAUUCAGCAAAGUUCCACAGGGCAAGAAUAUGAAUUCGCCACUAAUCUUUAAGCAGCUACUCAGAAUGACAGCUAUGAAGUGAAUGAAAAUACUUCAACCACAACUGAGUGAGUGAAUGGGAGGAAGAGCCAUUGGAAAAAAAACCUUGCUUUCUAUUGGCUUAUUCAUGUGGCAAAAAGACCAGAGGCCUUUGCUAUGGAGGAAGAGACUUUUCUAAAGUUGUACAUCUGGUUUCUAAGUAACUUCUGGGGAAAAAAAAUAGUGAUGAACAUUUUGAAGUGAACAUGCCACCCAUAUUCUGACAGAAUCUGAAUAUUCUAAGGCUUGCUUUCUGUCAGCAGCACCUGUGCUCCUUUAUCAUCACUCAUGGCACACCAUCACAGCAUAAACAGGACAAAUGUGUUACACCAUAUACGCUACGUGAUCAUUUUGGGGGUUCUCUGAGACACCAUUCCAUGCAACAUCUUCUCUCAUGUCUUUCCCAGCCUGGACUGAUUCUAGUGAGGAGAACUGUAAGCCUUUUUUUCCCCUCAACAGAUUUGGGGUAGGACUGGCAUCACAUAGUUUCUGGCUUUCCUGCAUAGUCUUACAUGUCAGGUGGCAACAGGUAGCAUUUUUCUGAUUAGCAAUGUCUGAGGACAGACAGAGUGAGCAGAGUGCCAGUCAUAUCUUGGUCUCUGCAAAGACCUCAGACCAGUGUUUCUUAAACUGUGUUCUGGACGCGAGACAAAGAAAAACGGAAUUCAAAAUGGCCACCCUUAAAGGGGCAGGCAACUUUUUUUUCUGCUCAAUAA
Molecule: non-coding RNA, 2172 nt
Organism: Pelodiscus sinensis (Chinese soft-shelled turtle)
Lineage: Eukaryota; Metazoa; Chordata; Testudines; Trionychidae
Source: RefSeq, a predicted model, not a curated record